RNAcentral lists this ribosomal RNA (275 nucleotides) under Gammarus cf. fossarum GcfFOS3. RNAcentral's name for it is "partial 16S ribosomal RNA". The record is from RNAcentral. Lineage: Eukaryota; Metazoa; Arthropoda; Malacostraca; Amphipoda; Gammaridae.
GCUAAGGUAGCGUAAUAAUUUGUUGCUUAAUUGGUAACUUGAAUGAAAGGUUAAACUGGUCAGCUUAGUUUGUAGGGCUCAUUAAUAAAUUAAAGUCAGGGUAAGAAUUCUUUGAUUUUCUAGGGGACGAUAAGACCCUAGAAGCUUAACAAGGAGAGCAUUUAUUAGUGGUAAAAAUUAGUUUGUUUUACUGGGGCGGUAAAAGUAUAUAAACUACUAGGUUAUUGAAGGAUCCUUAAUAUAAAGAUGUAGCGUAAAAGUUACUCUAGGGGUAA